AGCAUGGUAUGAAUGCCUUAGAGACUUUUUAAUUGCUAAUGCUUUCAAGGUUGGGAAAGCCGAUCCAACUCUUUUCACUAAGACAUGUGAUGGUGACUUAUUUGUGUGCCAAAUUUAUGUCGAUGACAUAAUAUUUGGUUCUACUAACCAACAGUCUUGUGAAGAGUUUAGCAGGGUGAUGACUCAAAAGUUUGAGAUGUCGAUGAUGGGAGAGUUGAACUACUUCCUUGGGUUCCAAGUGAAGCAACUCAAGGACGACACUUUCAUCUCCCAAACAAAGUAUACGCAAGACUUGCUCAAGCGGUUUGGGAUGAAGGACGCCAAGCCCGCAAAGACUCCAAUGGGAACAGACGGACACGUCGACCUCAACAAAGGAGGUAAGUACGUUGAUCAAAAAGCAUACCGGUCCAUGAUAGGUUCCUUGCUUUAUUUAUGUGCUAGUAGACUGGAUAUUAUGCUAAGCGUAUGUAAUACCCAAAGUUGUAGACCAUCAUAUGAGAACAAUCUUGUGUAUUUCGCUUCUACAUACCAUCAUAUGAGAACACUCGCUUUUAAAAGAAAAUAAUCAACAAAAGACACAUGAACAACAUAUGCAUCAUAUUGGAGUUUUGUUUGUGCAUUGAAUAAUAAUAACACUACAAAAAUAUAAUAAUGAGUUGAAGACUAGGAUCAAAACCUAAAUUUGAAAUUGGGAUUUGAAAAAUGGAAAAGAAGAGAGAAAUACUAUAAAAUACAAAAUGAUUUUAUAAAUAAAUAGAAUCAACCCAUAAUGGAAUGUCCAAGUCAUACAUUCAAAUCUAAGUACAAAUUUACUACAAAAAAUUUGAAUUCAAAACUGGGACUCAAAAAUAAAAAGGAAAACAAAAUAAAGAAAAAGAAAAAAAGGUGGUCGCUACUUGGGCCGUGGAUGCCAUUUAGGCCCAUCUCGCUCACGCUCCGCACAGCCCGGUCACCCACUCCACACGCGCUUGGUGCCCUGACACUGCGAUGCGGGCCCACGCGCCAGUCCCUUUGCGCACGGACGCCCCUUUCUCCAUCGCUGCUGGUGGGUCCUCCCUUGCUCACGGUCGUCUUCGUCGCGCGUCCAUCGCCGUGGAAUCCGGAUCUCGCCAGGGAAUGCGGCAUGGUCGUUGUCCACCUCGACCCUGGGAUAAGACCCGCAUGGCAUCUGCACCUCCUCCUGCCUUCUUCCCCUGCGCAUAGAAGCGAGCACCAGGCCGUGUAGCGUCGCCAUGUGCAUCUACGCCGCGAGAAGAGAGAGAGAGUAAGAGCGCCACCGCGGUGGUCACGUGCGUACACCAUCGGCGGGGUUCCGGAGUCGGGUCUGGGAGCUCCAGCUCGUCCCCGGGACGAUACUCGUGGUCUCGCUGUGCUCGAUUGGCAAACGUCGCGCCGAGAAUUCCUCACCAAAGAAGCUGCGGCCGCCAGGGAAGCGACUCACCGUGGACGACUGUCUUGGGGGCCACCAUCGCUUCGGGUAAGUGGCCUAAAUCCUCUAGUACAUCUACGGAUUGAGAUGCAUUCAACGAAAUUAGAAAUUGGGGGCGGGGGUCGAACCAAUUUCUCAUCUGAACUCCAUUCCCACCGCCGAAUCCGCCUCGACGUGGUUGAUGCUAAACUCGUCCCUCUCGGCGGGAUUGAACCCCCCUUUAGGGCUCGCCAUCGUUCACUGUCACGAAUCGACUAGUUGAAGGGGGGGAGCCAGGGGGACUGCACGCCGGUGAUAGUACCGCCACCGUAGGGAGGGUGGCGCCGCCGUCGGGUGUGAUAGUGAGAGGUUUAGUUGUGUGAGUCCUCGGAUCCGUAAUGGAGGGCUGGGAUUUGAUCGGAUGCAAACGAGUUUGGGGCCAUCGAUCCAUGAUCCGAUGGCUAGCUUUGCAUAACGGUUUGGGGAACUAGGGUUUAAUCCGAGCCAUUCACUGUCGAUCGACCGACUGUAAAUACAUACCGGUUCGGAAUGAAGUUAGUCCAAUCUGUGCCGUCCGUUUCUAAUCCGGCGGCGCUGGAUCCCCGAUACCCCUUCGCGGAUACAUUUUGUUAAAGAGCCCCUGUCCUUUACCUAUAUCAACCCGUCGUCCAGCGCACGAUAGAUCUGAGUCUGUGGAGUUUUUGCAGGUUUAACCCCUGGACUUUCUGAAAAAUGAGGCCCAGUCCUGAGAUGAUUAAAAACAGAGAAUUAAUUAUAGAAAUUCGUUUUUAAAACAAAAACAAAUAUAGAAACUUGUAAAAUGCCUAGAAAAUCCAUUUUUAGUCCAAAUCACUCCAUUCCAGUUCUUAAAAUUUUGUAAUUUUAUUCUCCAUCGUCUAGAGUCUCUUUUUCUACAUGAAAACAGUAGGAAAAUUAAUUUGUCACUUAACUCUAUUUUAAUCACAUUAAACCUUAGGAAAUUCAUAACUUAAAUUCUAUAACUCCAAAUUUAGUGAUUCCAGUUCCUAUGGUUUCAUUUUGAUAUGUAGAUUUUUACUGCAUAUUUUAUUUACAUGCUUGGUGUGAUGUUGAUUUUGGCUAUACUAUGUAUGUAUUGUGUUGAUGCGAGUAGACGAGCAAGCCACUGUGGAAACUGAGGUUCAACAAGUAGAAGUAGCUGAGCAGGAGCUCAUUGAAGGCAAGUUGUGCCCUUGAUCACUUACUUUCCCAGCCAUGUUCUUAUUAAUUUUAAUGAUCUGCAUAGGAUAAUUUUGAUGGGAGCCUUUAUGUUACCCCAGUUUUGAUUACCUCUAUACCUUGUUCACCCCUGAAAUAUUUUUGGGUAGUACUUGCUAUUGCUUUAUGUGGAUUGGGUAUGGAGAUACACUAUUCAUGAUUAUUCUGUUAUUAACUUGUUAUUAUUAUUGUUCAUGUUAAGAUCAUUAAAUUAAUGGGAACAUGGAGCGACCACCCGGGAAAACAGUGCUACCACAAGGGUAUAAUGGGACGCCCUUGGCUGACUAAUUAGGAAAGCUAGUGGAAGACUACCUUACCUGAAAGGGGCAAGGGCAGUAGGGGAGAGGUCAGUGCGGGGAGGUCCCUGGUUGAUUUUGCUGCGAUGGCUGUCAGCCAGGAACCCUGUACUGGAUCUUCCUAUAAACUGUAGCGGGUUUUCGGAAGCUAGUGGAACUUUGUAAAGGCCUCGUAGUGGAUCCCUAGCCAUUCACCUCGGUAGUGUCUAAGGGCCUUGCAAACCCAGGCGACAUGGGAUACACGACUUGUGGGUAAAGAUGCGCAACCUCUGCAGAGUGUAAAACUAGUAUACUAGCCGUGCUCACGGUCAAGAGCGGCUCGGACCCUCACAUGAUUAAUUAUGGAACUUAAAUUCAAUUUGACAUUUGCAUCGCAUUUGGGAUCAUUUUACUAUUACUGUUCUUUAUUAUUAUUAAGGUUUGGUAUUUACUUACACUUAGUAAUUGCUAAUAAAAUUUUGACCAACUUAUAAAAGCAAUGCUCAGCCUCAGCCUUUAUUCCAUUGAUUAGCCUUACACUACAUGAACUCCCACCUUUGGUGAGUUCAUGCCACAUUAUUCCCCACGACUUGUUGAGCUAUGAACGUAUGUGAGCUCACUCUUGCUGUCUCACACCCCCCCACAGGAGAAGAACAGGUGGUCGAAGAGGAGCCGCCUAACACUGAGGAGUUCGAUCUGAUCUAGGUGGCGUGUCUCGGUCGACAUUGGCGCCGACGAUCCUUAGUUCGCUUUAUCUUUAUUAUUUUAUUUUGUAACAAGACUUCCGCUAUGUAAUAAGUACUCUGAUGUUUUAUGACAUUUAUCUCUAUACACUCUGUUAUUAUAUAUGUUGUCUUCUUGGCGCAUGUAUGAGAUGCACCCGGUUUUGUCCCUUUAAAACCGGGUGUUACAGAAGUGGUAUCAGAGGAAAUGUUGACUGUAGGACGAAACCUAGAUAGAAAUGGACAAAACCCUUAUCUACUUAUCUUACUCUGAUUCAUUCCAUACUUACCUUAUCUUGAUCCUAUCUCACCUUCUACUGUUCUACUCUGAUCAUUCUUACCUUUUCUACUCUGAGACAAGACGGAUUUCACACUUUGGAAUCCUACAUUUAUGACCUUUUUAAGAGAUAGGAGACCUAAGACAAAAAUUGAAACUAUUUUCCCUAUUAAAAAAAUGUUGGUUGAUUGUUCUGAUGAUAACUGCUUGAUUUGCUUCUUUGAUUGAUUGAAACAUUAUAGUUGGGCAUCUUAGCAUGUACCACUAUAAGGUAAUGUAUUAUCUUAGGUGGAUAACACACUAAUCUACUUAGCUAAUAAAUCCCCCGCAGUAACAUUUCUCAUAAUUACUCGCCUUGUCUACAAUUCUUCCUUUCUUACCCUAUAUUUCUAACUCAGAUGAACUACCCCUAUAGUGUUAGAAGAGAGCACUAUAGACGUGAUCCUUGGUAUGUCAUGGUUAAGAAAGACAAAGGCAGUAUAUACACUGUGCUAAAGGAACCAUAGAACUCACCAGUUCCAAAGGAGAAAGAUUUGAAGUUGGAAUUGCAGUAACUAUCGCCACCAAACUAGCGGCAUUCUUGGUCGAUGGGAAGUUUGUUGGUGACAACAUCCGUGUGGUUAGAGAUUUUCCGGAUGUCUUCCCAGAAGAGUUACCAGGGAUGCCACCAUAUAGGGAAGUUGAGUUUGUCAUUGAUCCCUUACCUAGGACUACCCCUAUUUCUAAACGACCAUACAUGAUGUCCAUAGAAGAGCUAAAGGAACUUAAGAAGCAAUUAAUGGAAUUACAAGAGGCUGGGUACAUUCGUCCGAGUUCCUCAUCUUGGGGAGCAUCAGUACUGUUUGUACAGAAGAAAGAUGGAUCGCAAAGGAUGUGUGUGGAUUAAAGGUCCCUUAAUGAUGUCACUAUGAAGAAUAAGUAUUCAUUACCCCGCAUUGAGGAUUUAUUUAAUCAGAUGAGAGGUGCAAGGAUAGUCUCGAAGAUUGAUCUCCGAUCGGGAUAUCAUCAGAUGAAGAUUAGACCCUCGGAUAUUCCUAAGACGGAUUCCUCGACCCGAUAUGGUUUAUAUGAGUUCACCGUUAUGUCAUUUAGACUAACUAAUGCACCAGCCUAUUUUAUGGAUCUGAAGAAUAAGGUGUUCAUGAUCUGGACAGGUUCGUCGUGGUUUUCAUCGACGAUAUUUUUAUUCCAAGAGUGAUAGAGAUCAUGAGGAACAUCUGAGAUUGGUGCUACAGAAGCUACGAGAUAAUCAACUCUACGCCAAGUUUAGCAAAUGCGAGUUUUGGAUUGGCAAGGUGCCAUUUCUUGGUCAUAUUAUUUCUAAUGGAGGAAUUUCAGUGGAUCCUGCUAAGGUUAAGGAGAUAAUAAAGUGGAGAGCACCCACUACAGUUACUGAGAUUCGGAGUUUCUUGGGACUAGCAGGCUACUAUCGGAGAUUUAUUGAAGGAUUUUCUAAGAUUGCCAAACCUAUGACUUCGCUUUUGGGAGAAAGGAAAAGAAUUUAAGUGGGACGAGAAAUGCCAAGAGAGUUUUGAUCAAUUGAAGGAGAGAUUGAUGUCACCUCCAGUAUUGAUUAUGCCAGAUCUGCAGAAGGGAUUUGACAUUUACUGUGAUGCAUGUGGCCAAGGACUUGGAUGUGUGCUCAUGCAAGAAGGACAUGUGAUUGCCUAUGCAUCUCGUCAGUUGCGGAAGCAUGAACUGAACUACCCCACCCAUGACUUGGAAUUAGCAGCGGUUGUGCAUGCACUUAAAAUUUGGAGACACUACGUUAUGGGAACUAAGUGCCAAGUAUACACGGAUCAUAAGAGUUUGAAGUACAUAUUCACUCAGAAGGAUCUCAACCUUAGGCAACGCCGUUGGUUGGAGCUCAUUAAGGAUUAUGAUUUGGAGAUUCACUAUCACCCAGGCAAGGCAAAUUUGGUUGCAGAUGCCUUGAGUCGUAAGGAACAUGUUCACUCCGCUUUCGUUGUCCAGCUACCUGAUGAAUUAGCAAAAGAUUUUGAGAGGCUCAACCUGGGGAUUGUUACACAUACGGAAGGAGUGACUAUUGAAUUGGAACCUACCUUGGAGCAAGAGAUUCGUAAAGGUCAGAUUGGUGAUGCUAAAAUCCAGGAGAUCAAGGAUUUGAUAACAGAGGGUAGAUGCCCAGAGUUCACGGAGGAUGAACAAGGCACGAUUUGGUUCAAGAAUCGGAUCUGUGUUCCCGACAUUGAAAGUCUUCGGGAAACUAUAUUGAAGGAGGCACAUGAUUCAGUUUAUUCUAUCCAUCCUGGGAGUACUAAGAUGUAUCAGGAUUUGAAGCAAAAGUAUUGGUGGUAUGGACUAAACAGAGAUGUGGCUGCACAUGUGGCUAUGUGCGAUGUAUGCCAAAGAGUUAAAGCUGAACACCAGAGGCCAGCUGGAUUAUUGCAUCCACUGAAGAUACCUGAGUGGAAGUGGGAAGAGAUUGGUAUGGAUUUUAUUACUGGAUUGCCUCGCACCUAGAAAGGAUAUGAUGCUAUAUGGGUGAUUGUGGAUAGAUUGACUAAAGUGGCUCACUUUAUUCCUGUGAAGACUACUUAUAAAGGUUCUCAGCUAGCAGAGUUAUAUAUGGCUCGGAUUGUGUGUUUACAUGGAGUACCAAAGAAGAUCGUGUCUGAUCGAGGUUCACAGUUUACCUCAAGAUUUUGGAGAAGCUUUCAUGAGAAUAUGAGUACAAAGUUGAAUUUCAGUACGGCUUAUCACCCUCAGACUGAUGGACAGACUGAAAGGACUAAUCAAGUAUUGGAGGAUAUGUUGAGAGCAUGUGCCCUUCAGCAUGGGGGAAGUUGGGAUAAAAGUCUACCUUAUGCUGAAUUCUCAUAUAACAAUAGCUAUCAAGCCAGUCUGAAGAUGUCACCUUUUGAAGCUUUAUAUGGGAGAAAGUGCAGGACUCCUUUAUAUUGGGAUCAGACUGGAGAGAGACAGUUCUUUGGGCCUGAAUUGAUUCAAGAAGCAGAAGAACAAGUCCGUAUAAUUCGAGAGAAUUUGAGGGUGGCUCAAACCAGGCAAAAGAGUUAUGCUGAUAAUAGAAGGAGGCCACUGGAAUUUGAAGAAGGUGAUCAUGUGUACCUCAAGAUAUCACCACUUCGUGGAAUGAGGAGAUUUAAAGUUAAGGGCAAAUUGUCCCCUCGCUAUAUUGGACCAUUCUGAGUUUUUAGGCAAGUUGGAGAGAUGGCCUAUCAGCUCGAGCUACCUGAUAAUCUAUCUGAUAUGCAUAAUGUAUUUCAUGUGUCUCAACUUAGUAAGUGUCUCCGUAUCCCCGAGGAACAGUUACCAAUGGAAGAGCUCAGUGUUCAGAGUGAUUUGACUUACACGGAGUAUCCCGUCAAGAUUCUUGAUGCUUUGACUCGAGUUACAAGAAAUAAGGUGAUAAAAAUGUGUAAAGUUCAAUGGAGUCACCUCGGAGAAGACGAAGCUACAUGGGAAAGAGAAGAAGAGCUUCGCAUAGAUUUUCCCUAUCUAUUUUCUCGUUCCUCCUAAAUCUCGAGGACGAGAUUAUUUUUAAGGGGGGUAGGAUUUGUAAUACCCAAAGUUGUAGACCAUCAUAUGAGAACAAUCUUGUGUAUUUCGCUUCUACAUACCAUCAUAUGAGAACACUCGCUUUUAAAAGAAAAUAAUCAACAAAAGACACAUGAACAACAUAUGCAUCAUAUUGGAGUUUUGUUUGUGCAUUGAAUAAUAAUAACACUACAAAAAUAUAAUAAUGAGUUGAAGACUAGGAUCAAAACCUAAAUUUGAAAUUGGGAUUUGAAAAAUGGAAAAGAAGAGAGAAAUACUAUAAAAUACAAAAUGAUUUUAUAAAUAAAUAGAAUCAACCCAUAAUGGAAUGUCCAAGUCAUACAUUCAAAUCUAAGUACAAAUUUACUACAAAAAAUUUGAAUUCAAAACUGGGACUCAAAAAUAAAAAGGAA
This 7850-nucleotide long non-coding RNA is filed under the name Zea mays. RNAcentral describes it as "long non-coding RNA (ZMAY_LNC004722)". Lineage: Eukaryota; Viridiplantae; Streptophyta; Magnoliopsida; Poales; Poaceae. The record is from RNAcentral.